UAAGCCUAUAGAGCUCAUUAGAGGGUUAAGUCUGUUUGAAUGUAGUAUGCUUAUGUACUAUAACUCUGCUUCUAUGAGUAUAGGUGGAGCCCUUCACCUUGUCGCAUUGUCAUUCAAGAAGGAACACCUCCAUGUAGGGAAACAGACCUGGCUGAGAACUUAUUAGGCUGCCCACUGGGUCUGGAUCAGGUGGAAGAAACUCCUGCAACAUGGCCAUAUUAUCUUGACAUGCAUAAGGCAAUUAGGGUCCAAGCGAUCAACACGUCCACCUGUGCUCAUUGCCUCAUGCAUGUCCAACCCCACCAUUCUCCCAAGUACCUCAAAUGUUGCCUCGCGCUCCUCUCCAAGCCCCUCUAGUCUAGCCUCACCACCCUCACCCGAAACCACCCAGCCAAAAAACAACGGAAAAACAUGCACUGCUUGAAAAAGGAGGGGAGAAGAACCAUGUGUCCAGUAAAUCAUGUGAAACAUUUCUGACCUUGUAAAAAAUAUGUUUUCUUUUCA
Micropterus dolomieu (smallmouth bass) is the source of this 504-nucleotide long non-coding RNA. RefSeq lists it as uncharacterized. The transcript is spliced from 2 exons. NCBI's taxonomy places the organism in Eukaryota, Metazoa, Chordata, Actinopteri, Centrarchiformes, Centrarchidae. The record is from RefSeq and is a predicted model, not a curated record.